UUAAAAACUAAGUUGUUUAUUGAGAACUGAAUAAUUUAAAAUGUUUUGUAAGCAGUUUUUAAAUGUAUUUCGAAAUUAUUUUAGUUAUUUUGAAAAAUGUAAAUUAGGGUGAAUGUUUCGUGAAUUUGAUUAGUCAAUUUGAGCACAGGACUCUUGUAUAAAUACCAGUUUUCUUUACUCUUAACUUAUUACCAGUCUGAGUGGUGUUCAGAUAACAGAUACAUAACGUAAGGAUGAAAUUUGCGUUGAUCGUUUUCUUUGUCAGCGUUUACAGCUGUGCCCAUGCAAGUCCUGGGUCGGAUUUUCUAGGAGUUCUUGCUUGGACAAAUGACGUUGAUCUUGAGACAGUUCACACUGGCGAAGAGGCAUGUCAAGUCAAAGAAGGUACAGCUUUCAGCUAUGAGGAUUGCAUAAACGCUAUUGUUGAUAAUGUUUGUUCCGGAAACUGUAACGGAAGAGCUCGGGAUGUUGUUUCAUCUGUUAUCUGGUAUGAAGUGAUCCAAAAAUCGGCUUUUGAAUUUUGUGCAGAAGCAGAAGAUUACUGGGGUUGCGUAUGGCUGUUAUCUGAACCAACAAAAUGCCAGGAGAAACGAUCUUUUAAUAUCAAAAAGUCUGCUGAAUCAGGAUACGAUCUUCCAAAGCUGCCACCAAAACCUAGUGAGAAAAGGAGCUUGAAUUUCGGAAACUUGAAAAAUGUUCUUAAAUCAAACAAUGGUGGACGUAGUCUUUUGAAGAAAAUGCUGACUAUCAAGAAAUAACUUUUGUAAGAAUAUGGUGGAGCCUAACGACUAAUGAACUGUGACACGGACACGGACACGGACAAUGAUUAUAGUGAUUGUAAUAAUACUUUUGGGGACAUUGGACGGGACUAAAAAAACAAAUAGGGGUUACUUUUCAUUACUGUAUGUGAUUUGAAAUUAAAAAAAAAAUUUGUUUUAAAGGCAUUUGUUUUAAUAAAGAUUUUGUUAGAUAA
Long non-coding RNA from Mytilus californianus (California mussel), 973 nucleotides. RefSeq lists it as uncharacterized. The transcript has 2 exons. Lineage: Eukaryota; Metazoa; Mollusca; Bivalvia; Mytilida; Mytilidae. The record is from RefSeq and is a predicted model, not a curated record.